This 264-nucleotide unclassified non-coding RNA is filed under the name uncultured Sordariomycetes. RNAcentral describes it as "sequence contains ITS2". The record is from RNAcentral. Lineage: Eukaryota; Fungi; Ascomycota; Sordariomycetes.
AACGCACAUGGCGCCUUCCAGUAUCCUGGGAGGCAUGCCUGUCCGAGCGUCGUUUCAACCCUCGAGCCCCUGUGGCCCGGCGUUGGGGAUCUGCCACGGCAGGCCCCUAAAACCAGUGGCGGACCCGAAGGGCCCUCUCCUUUGCGCAGUAGCAUUCGCCUCGCAUUGGGAGUCCUCGGCGUCCUGCCUCUAAACCCCCCACAAGUCCGCUUCGGCGGCACCAAGGUUGACCUCGGAUCAGGUAGGAAUACCCGCUGAACUUAA